UGUGGGUGAUUGAAGACAGGUGAAGU
This 26-nucleotide non-coding RNA is filed under the name Cricetulus griseus (Chinese hamster). The record is from RNAcentral. Lineage: Eukaryota; Metazoa; Chordata; Mammalia; Rodentia; Cricetidae.